RNAcentral lists this ribosomal RNA (222 nucleotides) under Klebsiella pneumoniae subsp. pneumoniae KPNIH12. RNAcentral describes it as "partial 16S ribosomal RNA". It matches the Rfam family "Bacterial small subunit ribosomal RNA", at positions 1 to 217 of the family's 1533-position model. Lineage: Bacteria; Pseudomonadati; Pseudomonadota; Gammaproteobacteria; Enterobacterales; Enterobacteriaceae. The record is from RNAcentral.
ACUUAAAUUGAAGAGUUUGAUCAUGGCUCAGAUUGAACGCUGGCGGCAGGCCUAACACAUGCAAGUCGAGCGGUAGCACAGAGAGCUUGCUCUCGGGUGACGAGCGGCGGACGGGUGAGUAAUGUCUGGGAAACUGCCUGAUGGAGGGGGAUAACUACUGGAAACGGUAGCUAAUACCGCAUAACGUCGCAAGACCAAAGUGGGGGACCUUCGGGCCUCAUG